RNAcentral lists this small RNA (2619 nucleotides) under Oryza sativa Japonica Group (Japanese rice). Its description in RNAcentral is "sRNA Os03g0649450". The record is from RNAcentral. Lineage: Eukaryota; Viridiplantae; Streptophyta; Magnoliopsida; Poales; Poaceae.
GAGAGAGCACAGCACGAUGAACUUAUUACGCCUUAUACCAUCAGCGGAAGGAUAACGUAUUAACAAUAACUACAAUCAGUGAUUUACCAUUAGUAAUAUAUAUGGAUUGACUAUAGGUACGAUAGAAAGAUAUUCUUUCAGACAAAGAAUAGUAUUCCCCUUCGGAUCAAAAGACUUCAUUUCUUACGCUUUUCACAAUAAGAAAAAUGUUAACUGCUAUUGCCCUCUCAAUACCCUGGAAAAUGCUUGGAAUCAUACGUCCGAUGAGGACAUAAAGAUCGGACACCUCGCACUCCGUGCUGCUUCACUUUGCAUUGUAUUUUCCCUGUCAUUUUAUUUCUUUUUACAUGCAUGCACUUAGCACGCUCACCUAUGUGAUGGGUAGGCCUAUAACAAUUUUGUUUGUAAACUUCAAAUGUUGUUUUCUUCUCAAUCACUUAUCCGAUUUAUGAUCUGGUUAUCCCGUUGUAUUUAUCACAAUUAAAUCUUUCCAACAAGAUCUCACUUGUUUAUAUUUUAAUGAUUUUUUAAAUAGUUAUUUUUUGUUGCAACAGGUUUUAUUUGAUGUUUCAAUAAGAAUUUCCUAAUGUUUCACUAUUUCAUUUAUAAAUGUUGCACAUUGUGUUAUUUGAUUAUUUUAAUAAUUACAACUUAAUGUCUCAUAUGUGAUAUAAAAAUAUGUUUCAAUGAGAUUAAUUAUUUCUUAAAUAUAUUAUAUCUUUCAUAUACCUUUUUAAAUGUUUCACUAGUUAAUUUGCACUCAAUGUUUCAUGGAGUGGUUGUCGGUGUUGCAAUCAAUAUUAUCUGAAUGUUGCAUCUCUCUGAAACAUUUUAGACAGUGGACGAAACAUUUCAUUGAGUGAUGAAACAUUUUUCUAUAAGUGAUGAAACAACGUCAAAUUAUUCUAGAAAAAUAUUUUUUUCCUAUCAAAAUAUAGUCAUGUGAGGCUUAUUGUGAAGAUUUAAUUGUAACGAAUACCAUGGUGUAAUUAGAUUGUAGAUCAUAUAACUAUUUUACCAGAAGGCAUUUAAAAUUUAGUAAAUAUAUAUUUAUGUACAUGCAUGAGACGUGUGGAAGAGAGUAGUUAUAUGCAUGCACGUGACAUGCCCCAGAGAGAGGAGAAGGAUAGUUGUUAGAGAAAUCAACUUUUUUCAUUCAAUCUAGCAGUCUAAUACUUGUUUCUGCAUCCAAACUUGGCGUCCGAUAUUUGGACUGCUAUCGGACGCCUGACACGUAGGCAGCUCCCAAUACUCUUGAUUGUGUUCCGUAGGCUAGCUCUGAUUAAAUGCACGUGUCUUAGCUUAAUUGGCGGUAACAUCUCAACAUUACUCCCUCCGUUCCUAGCUAAUAUAGUUUUAAUCAAAAAAGUUGUCCAGAGAUAAUUGCAGUGUUUCUUAAUAUACAACUUCAUUUUUUUUUCUUGUUCUUUAGCCAUUGAACCAAUAGCAAUCAUUUCUCCUCGUUUUUUCUCUUCUCCUUGUUUUCUUUCUGUAUUAAUAAAGAGCAUAGUGGUUUAUUCUUUUUUCUUAAUAUAUCUUUGGCUAGCUAAAUCUAAUUUAUUUAAAAACGAAACUACGGAAGGAUCAGAGUUAGUUUGUUCGAUAAAUUUAAAAAGCUGAAAAUUUAAAUAUUUGUGGCCUGGAGAGGGUGUAGAAAAUUAAUAAUGGCAUUAAUGUUUCCACUUAUCUCAUACAUCUAACUCUGUCAGCUUCACAUGAUGAAACAGUAAUUAUGCUGCCUCCACACCAGCCAACGAGAUACCCCGAUAGACGGCCCAUGCGUGAUUAAGUAUAGUCACUCUCCAGCUUUUAGGCUCGAAGAUUUGAUCGAAUUAAUUCCAAGGUGCCUGUACGUCUUGAGUUUUUAUCACCGGAUAUGAUCGAGCUAUGAAUGAAUGAUUGUUUGUGCGCGCGCACACGCGCUUUCUUCGCUACUAUAUAGACAGUUUUAGCAGAUGAUCCCCCUCUAGCAUCUAAAUGAGACAUAGCAUCUAGAUAAUGUCAGCACAAGUUAAGCGACAAGAUCCGUAUGAAAAAUUAAUUUUCGUAGGCGGCCUGAGAAAGUAAACCUAUUUUCGUAGACGAAUCUAUUAGGUAGCAUGCCUGGCACAAAUUAGUUGCCCUAGGUAGCCUGCCUGGCACAAAUUGGUUGCUCCGUCCUCUCUUAAAACACUCGAGUUCUCACUCCACAUUACUCUCUACUCUCCUCCCUCAUCACCUCCCCUCUCCUUCUUUCUCACCCCCUCCUCUGUCGACUGACGAAGGGAGCGGCGGCGCAGCAACUGCGACGAUGGCGGUGAUAGGGCCGUGACAACACCGGAGGGGCCGUGUGGGCUUGAGCCGGCGUAGGUGGCCUCACGUAGGGUAGAUUUAGCUCCUCGAUCCAUCGUUGGAUCAAGCAUCAUUAGCGAAGGGGUGGGGAGGGCUAGUGAUAUUGAUAGGACCACGACAGGAGCCUUUGCCGGGUUGCACCACGAUGGGCAUGUAGGGCCUGGCAUCGGAGGGGUGGAGGCGCGUGUGAUGAAGGGGUGAAGGCAGCGGAGGCGGGGUGGAGUGACGGCGGGAAGAGGCGAUUAUGACAACGGCCGCGGAUCUGGCGCCGCCAGUAUCAGGAGGCGA